Molecule: ribosomal RNA, 417 nt
Filed under: uncultured Gammaproteobacteria bacterium
Lineage: Bacteria; Pseudomonadati; Pseudomonadota; Gammaproteobacteria
Description: bacterial SSU rRNA
Rfam family: Bacterial small subunit ribosomal RNA
Source: RNAcentral
AAUGGGGGAAACCCUGAUGCAGCCAUGCCGCGUGUGUGAAGAAGGCCUUCGGGUUGUAAAGCACUUUCAGACGUGAGGAAGGGUUGGUAGUUAAUACCUGCCAACAUUGACGUUAGCGUCAGAAGAAGCACCGGCUAACUCCGUGCCAGCAGCCGCGGUAAUACGGAGGGUGCGAGCGUUAAUCGGAAUUACUGGGCGUAAAGCGCACGCAGGCGGUCAUAUAAGCUAGAGGUGAAAGCCCCGCGCUCAACGUGGGAAUUGCCUUUAGAACUGUAUGACUAGAGUCUUGGAGAGGGGGGUGGAAUUCCAGGUGUAGCGGUGGAAUGCGUAGAGAUCUGGAGGAACAUCAGUGGCGAAGGCGGCCCCCUGGCCAAAGACUGACGCUCAUGUGCGAAAGUGUGGGUAGCGAACAGGAUU